AUUGAACGCUGGCGGCAGGCUUAACACAUGCAAGUCGAACGGAGUGGCGAACGGGUGAGUAAUGUAUCGGAACGUUCCCAGUAGCGGGGGAUAACUACGCGAAAGCGUAGCUAAUACCGCAUACUAUUGGAGCGGCCGCUAUCGGAUUAGCUAGUGGGUGGGGUAACGGCGAACCACGGCGACGAUCCGUAGCUGGUUUGAGAGGGUGACUAGCCACACUGGGACUGGGACACGGCCAAGACUCCUCCGUGAGGCAGCAGUGUGGAAUUUUGGACAAUGGGGGAAACCCUGAUCCAGCCAUCCCGCGUGUGCGAUGAAGGCCUUCGGGUUGUAAAGCACUUUUGGCAGGAAAGCGGUACCUGCAGAAUAAGCACCGGCUAACUACGUGCCAGCAGCCGCGGUAAUAC
RNAcentral lists this ribosomal RNA (407 nucleotides) under uncultured bacterium. RNAcentral describes it as "partial 16S ribosomal RNA". It matches the Rfam family "Bacterial small subunit ribosomal RNA", at positions 30 to 526 of the family's 1533-position model. The record is from RNAcentral.